AAGUCGUAACAAGGUUUCCGUAGGUGAACCUGCGGAAGGAUCAUUAAAAAAUUAAUGAAUGUCGGAGGGUGUUCGGGUUUUUACCUGUCGCUCUCUGUGUAUUCAACCAACCCGCUCUUGUAUUUGGAUCAACCAAAAAUUAACAAAAUACUUAUCAUAAUAAAAAUAAACUUUCAACAACGGAUCUCUUGGCUCUC
RNAcentral lists this unclassified non-coding RNA (197 nucleotides) under fungal sp. RNAcentral describes it as "partial internal transcribed spacer region". The stretch from base 1 to 46 matches the Rfam family "Eukaryotic small subunit ribosomal RNA", at positions 1786 to 1831 of the family's 1831-position model. Lineage: Eukaryota; Fungi. The record is from RNAcentral.